This 253-nucleotide ribosomal RNA is filed under the name uncultured bacterium. RNAcentral's name for it is "partial 16S ribosomal RNA". It matches the Rfam family "Bacterial small subunit ribosomal RNA", at positions 524 to 776 of the family's 1533-position model. The record is from RNAcentral.
UACGAAGGGUGCAAGCGUUAUUCGGAAUUACUGGGCGUAAAGCGUGCGUAGGCGGUGAGUUAAGUCUGUCGUGAAAUCCCCGGGCUCAACUUGGGAAUGGCGAUGGAUACUGGCUCGCUAGAGUGCGGUAGAGGAGAGUGGAAUUCCCGGUGUAGCGGUGAAAUGCGUAGAGAUCGGGAGGAACAUCAGUUGCGAAGGCGGCUCUCUGGACCAGCACUGACGCUGAGGCACGAAAGCGUGGGGAGCAAACAGG